RNAcentral lists this ribosomal RNA (407 nucleotides) under uncultured Kineosporia sp. RNAcentral's name for it is "bacterial SSU rRNA". It matches the Rfam family "Bacterial small subunit ribosomal RNA", at positions 355 to 774 of the family's 1533-position model. Lineage: Bacteria; Bacillati; Actinomycetota; Actinomycetes; Kineosporiales; Kineosporiaceae. The record is from RNAcentral.
UGGGGAAUAUUGCGCAAUGGGCGAAAGCCUGACGCAGCGACGCCGCGUGAGGGAUGAAGGCCUUCGGGUUGUAAACCUCUUUCAGCGCCGAAGAAGCGAAAGUGACGGUAGGCGCAGAAGAAGCACCGGCUAACUACGUGCCAGCAGCCGCGGUAAUACGUAGGGUGCAAGCGUUGUCCGGAAUUAUUGGGCGUAAAGAGCUCGUAGGCGGUUUGUCGCGUCUGCUGUGAAAACUCGGGGCUUAACCCCGGGCCUGCAGUGGGUACGGGCAGACUAGAGUGCGGUAGGGGAGACUGGAAUUCCUGGUGUAGCGGUGAAAUGCGCAGAUAUCAGGAGGAACACCGGUGGCGAAGGCGGGUCUCUGGGCCGUAACUGACGCUGAGGAGCGAAAGCGUGGGGAGCGAACA